RNAcentral lists this ribosomal RNA (450 nucleotides) under Rhodococcus maanshanensis. Its description in RNAcentral is "bacterial SSU rRNA". It matches the Rfam family "Bacterial small subunit ribosomal RNA", at positions 1035 to 1482 of the family's 1533-position model. The record is from RNAcentral. Lineage: Bacteria; Bacillati; Actinomycetota; Actinomycetes; Mycobacteriales; Nocardiaceae.
CAGGUGGUGCAUGGCUGUCGUCAGCUCGUGUCGUGAGAUGUUGGGUUAAGUCCCGCAACGAGCGCAACCCUUGUCUUAUGUUGCCAGCACGUAAUGGUGGGGACUCGUAAGAGACUGCCGGGGUCCAACUCGGAGGAAGGUGGGGACGACGUCAAGUCAUCAUGCCCCUUAUGUCCAGGGCUUCACACAUGCUACAAUGGCCAGUACAGAGGGCUGCGAUACCGCGAGGUGGAGCGAAUCCCUUAAAGCUGGUCUCAGUUCGGAUUGGGGUCUGCAACUCGACCCCAUGAAGUCGGAGUCGCUAGUAAUCGCAGAUCAGCAACGCUGCGGUGAAUACGUUCCCGGGCCUUGUACACACCGCCCGUCACGUCAUGAAAGUCGGUAACACCCGAAGCCGGUGGCCUAACCCUUGUGGAGGGAGCCGUAGAAGGUGGAUCGGUGAUAGGUACG